UAGGAUGAUUUCGAUUUUCUGGUAGAUGGA
RNAcentral lists this non-coding RNA (30 nucleotides) under Rattus norvegicus (Norway rat). Lineage: Eukaryota; Metazoa; Chordata; Mammalia; Rodentia; Muridae. The record is from RNAcentral.